AUGUAUAGUAUGUAUACAAGCUUAUAACAUAUUUAUACCUGUUCUUUUUUCUUUUUUCUUUUUUCUUUUUUUUUUUUGGUGAAGGCAACUGAUAUACGAGCAAAAUUGUUUUCAAAAUACUCAUGAAAACUGUAAAGAAAUGGACAAGUUUUAUAAAAUAUUAUCUGGGAUGCAAGCUAACAUAGCCACUUUAUCUUCUGAAUAUUUUUAUUUAAAAAAUGAUUACGUUUUUGGAGAUAAAUAUCCCGAUGCUAUGCUCAAAAAUGAUUAUUAUAAAAAAAAAAAUUAUAACUAUAAUAUAACAUUUUUUCAAGAAAAAAUUGGUUUAUUUCCUGAUCGAAUAGAAAAUCUCUAUUUUACUUUUGCUAUUUUAUUAAGAGCAUUGUGUAGAUUGAAAUUUUUAUUUAAACUGUGCAAAUGUAACUCGGGUUUUAGUGAUAACGAUAAAGAAGCUGUUAAGAUUUUGGGAGAUCUUUUAAGCAAUAACUAUCAUUCAUGUUCUUCUGAAACAUUUUUAAAACCACUUUUUCCAACAAAAUGGAAAGAUAUAUUAUCCAAGUUUGCAAUGAUAACAAAUAUAUUAGAUUGUGUACCUUGUGUUAAAUGUAGAUUACAUGGGAAGUUAAAAACUACAGCAUUGCAAAUUGCGUUAGUUGUAAGUAUAUUUUUAAAUUACAAACACACACGAGUGUAUUGUUUAUAUAUAUGCCAUAUAGCUACUACUAACACUUCUGCCUUUUUUAUUUUUUAUUUUUUAUUUGCAUAAUAUGGUUUAAUAUAUUAUUAAAAAUGUUUCUUAUGUUUUUGUAUUUUUGUAGGAAGGAGUAAGUUAUGAACAUAUUAGGUCCCUUGAAAGAAAUGAAAUAACUGCAUUGAUUAAUGCAAUUUACUAUUUUGCAGAUUCCAUACUAAUUAUAAACAAGUAAAGUUGUCCACUUAUUCGUUUGUUUGUCCACCUACUCAUUUGUUUGUCCACCUACUCAUUUGUUUGUCCGUUUUUUCGCUUAUCCAUUUUUAGGUUCGAAAAGAGACUAAAACUGAAGAAAAAGCUUUUUUUUCUUUUAUUUUUUUUCCAUUCUAUUUUUCGUCACUUUAGUCAUAUAUUCCCUAAUUUUUAUAUCAAGAAGAAAAAAAAAACAAAAGAUAAAUUAAAAUUAAAAUAAAAAUUAGAAUUAAAAUAAAAAUAAA
Molecule: long non-coding RNA, 1188 nt
Filed under: Piliocolobus tephrosceles (Ugandan red Colobus)
Lineage: Eukaryota; Metazoa; Chordata; Mammalia; Primates; Cercopithecidae
Description: lncRNA (ENSPTEG00000022251.1)
Source: RNAcentral